GACGAACGCUGGCGGCGUGCUUAACACAUGCAAGUCGAACGGAAAGGCCCUGCUUUUGUGGGGUGCUCGAGUGGCGAACUGGUGAGUAACACGUGAGUAACCUGCCCUUGACUUUGGGAUAACUUCAGGAAACUGGGGCUAAUAUCGGAUAGGAGCUCCUGCUGCAUGGUGGGGGUUGGACAGUUUCGGCGGUUGGGGAUGGACUCGCGGCUUAUCAGCUUGUUGGUGGGGUAGUGGCUUACCAAGGCUUUGACGGGUAGCCGGCCUGAGAGGGUGACCGGCCACAUUGGGACUAAGAGACGGCCCAGACUCCUACGGGAGGCAGCAGUGGGGAAUAUUGCACAAUGGGCGGAAGCCUGAUGCAGCAACGCCGCGUGCGGGAUGACGGCCUUCGGGUUGUAAACCGCUUUCGCCUGUGACGAAGCGUGAGUGACGGUAAUGGGUAAAGAAGCACCGGCUAACUACGUG
This 468-nucleotide ribosomal RNA is filed under the name uncultured bacterium. RNAcentral describes it as "partial 16S ribosomal RNA". It matches the Rfam family "Bacterial small subunit ribosomal RNA", at positions 28 to 507 of the family's 1533-position model. The record is from RNAcentral.